GUCUACGUAGCUUAAGACAAAGCACCGGUCUUGUAAACCGAAGAUUGAGGAGUAAUUCCCUCCUUAGACU
Molecule: transfer RNA, 70 nt
Filed under: Alytes obstetricans pertinax
Lineage: Eukaryota; Metazoa; Chordata; Amphibia; Anura; Alytidae
Description: tRNA-Thr
Rfam family: tRNA
About the family: Transfer RNA (tRNA) molecules are approximately 80 nucleotides in length. Their secondary structure includes four short double-helical elements and three loops (D, anti-codon, and T loops).
Source: RNAcentral